This 591-nucleotide long non-coding RNA is filed under the name Capsella rubella. Its description in RNAcentral is "long non-coding RNA (CRUB_LNC001118)". Lineage: Eukaryota; Viridiplantae; Streptophyta; Magnoliopsida; Brassicales; Brassicaceae. The record is from RNAcentral.
UCGAUUUGCCUUUGUUUUUUUUCUUGCGUUUGUUCUUUUGGCUGUUGGCUAUGUCACUUGCCAAAGGAGAGUUGCCCUGUCACUGCUUCCGCUUAAACACAAAUCUUGAAACCGGUUCUGCUAAAUUCCAAGUCUUCCUUUUAUACAUAUCCGAAACAGAGAUUGAUGAAUCUAUCAGAGUAAGUAGUUUACACUUUUCACCAUAUUCCUUAUUAUGAUUUACAUUUUCACGUGAAAACACACUUGCAUUUCUUGUUCUUCCGGUAAAUGUAACAAGAAAUCAUUUAUAUGUUGUUCUGUUACUCUAAUGCAGAAAUUAUGUUCCUAAUUCAAAGUAAAAGUUCCAAGAACCGGAACCAUCUCUCUGGGAUUAUCGUAGACUAACAAAUAAUUUCAGAAGCGGAGGUUGGAGGAAAACGCCGCUGACGCAAACCUUCUGCUUAAGUUGGAAUCUCUCUCUCUCUCUAUCUUAGAGAGGAGAUUUUGGGCCUUAUUUGUGAUCAUUUAUCUAAAUGGGCCUUUGUACUUAUUUAUUCUUUCAUAAAGGCCUUAUUGACUUAAUUGUAUAAAGAAGUACAUAAUAAGUUAACG